This 510-nucleotide ribosomal RNA is filed under the name uncultured bacterium. RNAcentral's name for it is "partial 16S ribosomal RNA". It matches the Rfam family "Bacterial small subunit ribosomal RNA", at positions 28 to 507 of the family's 1533-position model. The record is from RNAcentral.
GACGAACGCUGGCGGCGUGCUUAACACAUGCAAGUCGAACGAAGAGCGAUGGAAGCUUGCUUCUAUCAAUCUUAGUGGCGAACGGGUGAGUAACGCGUAAUCAACCUGCCCUUCAGAGGGGGACAACAGUUGGAAACGACUGCUAAUACCGCAUACGAUCUAAUCUCGGCAUCGAGGAUAGAUGAAAGGUGGCCUCUGCACGUAAGCUAUCACUGAAGGUGGGGAUUGCGUCUGGUUAGCUAGUUGGGGGGGUAACGGCCCACCAAGGCGAUGAACAGUAGCCGGUCAGAGAGGAUUGACGGCCAAAUUGGGACUGGGAAAAGGCCCAGACUCCUACGGGGAGCAGCAGUGGGGAAUCUUCCGCAAUGGACGAAAGUCUGACGGAGCAACGCCGCGUGGGCGAUGACGGCCUUCGGGUUGUAAAGCUCUGUUAAUCGGGACGAAAGGCCUUCUUGCGAAUAGUGAGAAGGAUUGACGGUACCGGAAUAGAAAGCCACGGCUAACUACGUG